Molecule: ribosomal RNA, 434 nt
Filed under: uncultured Pseudobutyrivibrio sp.
Lineage: Bacteria; Bacillati; Bacillota; Clostridia; Lachnospirales; Lachnospiraceae
Description: partial 16S ribosomal RNA
Rfam family: Bacterial small subunit ribosomal RNA
Source: RNAcentral
ACGGGAGGCAGCAGUGGGGAAUAUUGCACAAUGGGCGAAAGCCUGAUGCAGCGACGCCGCGUGAGCGAAGAAGUAUUUCGGUACGUAAAGCUCUAUCAGCAGGGAAGAUAAUGACGGUACCUGACUAAGAAGCACCGGCUAAAUACGUGCCAGCAGCCGCGGUAAUACGUAUGGUGCAAGCGUUAUCCGGAUUUACUGGGUGUAAAGGGAGCGUAGGCGGAAUUUUAAGUCUGAUGUGAAAGCCCAGGGCUCAACCCUGGUACUGCAUUGGAAACUGGAGUUCUAGAGUGUCGGAGGGGUAAGUGGAAUUCCUAGUGUAGCGGUGAAAUGCGUAGAUAUUAGGAGGAACACCAGUGGCGAAGGCGGCUUACUGGACGAUUACUGACGCUGAGGCUCGAAAGCGUGGGGAGCAAACAGGAUUAGAUACCCUGGUA